UCACACUCGUGCACACACAUGAGCAUUAUUGGACUUAGAUCUUAGACCGUUAAUUUACGGAUCAGAACAAUAUACGGUUCAGCUCGAUUUGGUCCUGGUUCGCGCUUCAACGGGGUUGUCGUGCAGGCCUAAUAUUCCCGAAAGUGAAACAGUUGUUGAACUCUGAGAAAUGAAUCGACUUCUGAGCAACCGCCCAAAACAACAGCAUCACUGCAUCAGCAACAAUGAACAUGAUCAACGGGUUCGUCCAAAUGCAUUUCUGAUCUCUGGUCAUGGAAACUUCCGAAGUUCUGUAGUCUCUCUGCUAUUUCCUUUCCCUCCACUCAAAUUUAACUCUCAAUGGUGGAUCUGACUCCAAACAACCGAUAACACCAAGCGAAGGGCUGCGAUAAGUAGGAAUUUAAAAUUUAUGUUAGGUAAUUUGGCAAGGGUAUUUCUUUCUUAUUUGAAGUAAGUAUGAUCUACACCAUCUAUAUCUAUGCAUAUGAAUUUGAUUGUCUGCUUUUUUCAUUUUUUUUUCCCUUCUUAUAGACUUGAUCAUCUUUGAUAGACUGGAAUCAAACUCUGCGCGUGUAGUUUGGUACUUCAUUUUCUCCUUAUGUUUACGUAUGUGUGUAUGUUGCUGUGUCUACAUAUUUACCUGUGUAUAGAAAAGGAUAAUGCUGGUGUGCAUGAAGUAAAUGGUGAACAUAAUUUACAUUGACCUCAUCUACAAUCUGACAGUUAAUUCCUAAAAUCAUAAACACAAUUUUGAUUGGCGUUCAAACUAAGUGCAUACCAAGUAUGGUAUGCUGCACUCACAUAGCACUAUCCCAAAUGCUAACUUCAAUAUCUAUUUCUGAAAUGUAUGCUACUUUCAGCUAGGCACCAUCUGGAACCUUUUGUUGAGUAGCAGAGAUUACGUAUUUUCUGACGGUGGACUAAAUAGGUUCAUGAGGCACCUGGGCAAGAUAUGAUAAUCUAUGCUACUUGUCAUCCGCUGGACUUGUUCAAGAACUGGAUGGAUGCAGGACCAAAAAUUAUGACGUUUAAACGAAAGCAUGAGGAAGGCCCAUGAAUUUGUUUGCUCGACUAGUGCUGCGUUAGCUCUUGUUGGAUGCUUAAAUGUGGUGUUGAAGCAUGAUUCUAUUUGCACAGGGUACAGAUACGGUCAAUUGGAAGUUCAACUAGCAGUCUAGCAGGAAGAUAGCAGUGGAAACCAAGUCCACCGGGAAUGUCAGGUCUUCAAGCUGAAAGAGUGGAAGAUUCACAGGAAGAUUCACAGGGUUUAUGCUGGCUAGGCAUUAGGAGAUAUAUUGGUUUGGGGCGACACUUUUUUUUUUCUUUUUGUCAGUCAAGCAUUAUUUGUUCGCAAUCAACUAUUUUUUCAGCAUGGUGCGAACGAGUAAAAGAGCACUUAAUUGGUGGCGAGGACCCAUAUUGACUAUCGAUGAUAUUUUUCUUGUUACUGAGGGGUCAUAGAAUUUUUU
Rhododendron vialii is the source of this 1469-nucleotide long non-coding RNA. RefSeq lists it as uncharacterized. The transcript is spliced from 3 exons. The record is from RefSeq and is a predicted model, not a curated record. NCBI's taxonomy places the organism in Eukaryota, Viridiplantae, Streptophyta, Magnoliopsida, Ericales, Ericaceae.